CGUUGAUCGGGUUUGGUGCUGUCGUAUGUGAUGGUGCAUGAGUGGUGAUAAGGUCGUUGGGUUCGGCAGGCUCCGUGCUUCAUGCAUCGAACUGUCGAAGCGCGAUCUCCUCAUUUGUUGUAGCCCAUGUGUGCGUCUUUAUGCCUCGUGGGUGAAUGUCGGGUUUCUGUGCUGCUUACCAAUGAGAUUGGAAUUGAACGCUUUGUUGUGGGAUAUUCGUUGCACCCUUCGUGAGGGGUUGCGAUGAUCAUCGUAGCGCCUCCCAUGUUCCAUGCAUGAUGAUUGCUUGAUCAAAUGUUUUGGCACAUGGGUAGGUCGCUCGUGCUUAGGGAUGCAUAAAGUUGGAUUCGAUCGAGGGAUCCUAAAGUCCCUCAGUUGCCUGAUAUAACGUCCACGUUAUAUACACAAAUGAACGAACGACUUUCGAUCCUCGUUUCCGGCUCUCGAUAUGCUGGGAUGACGAUCCUUCACAUGUCGAGUAAUGGGGCGGGGGUUGAGGUCGCGAAGGAAUGC
Molecule: unclassified non-coding RNA, 513 nt
Filed under: Dalechampia humilis
Lineage: Eukaryota; Viridiplantae; Streptophyta; Magnoliopsida; Malpighiales; Euphorbiaceae
Description: partial external transcribed spacer
Source: RNAcentral